GAUGAACGCUAGCGGCAGGCCUAAUACAUGCAAGUCGAGGGGUAACAGGGUAGCAAUACCGCUGACGACCGGCGCACGGGUGAGUAACACGUAUGUAACCUACCUAUAACUGGGGAAUAGCCUUCCGAAAGGAAGAUUAACACCGCAUAACAUCACGAGGCGGCAUCGCUUUGUGAUCAAACCUCCGGGGGUUAUAGAUGGACAUGCGUAACAUUAGCUAGUUGGUGAGGUAACGGCCCACCAAGGCGACGAUGUUUAGGGGGUCUGAGAGGAUGAUCCCCACACUGGUACUGAGACACGGACCAGACUCCUACGGGAGGCAGCAGUAAGGAAUAUUGGACAAUGGGGGCAACCCUGAUCCAGCCAUGCCGCGUGAAGGAUGAAGGCGCUCUGCGUCGUAAACUUCUUUUACUCGAGAAAAUUGUUGGGUUUCUACCCGACUUGAUUGUACCGAGAGAAUAAGGACCGGCUAACUUCGUGCC
RNAcentral lists this ribosomal RNA (482 nucleotides) under uncultured bacterium. RNAcentral's name for it is "bacterial SSU rRNA". It matches the Rfam family "Bacterial small subunit ribosomal RNA", at positions 28 to 509 of the family's 1533-position model. The record is from RNAcentral.